RNAcentral lists this ribosomal RNA (535 nucleotides) under uncultured bacterium. RNAcentral describes it as "bacterial LSU rRNA". It matches the Rfam family "Bacterial large subunit ribosomal RNA", at positions 918 to 1458 of the family's 2925-position model. The record is from RNAcentral.
CGUAGGGGUCCUACCAGAUUACCAACCAAUCAAACUCCGAAUGCCGCUGACAAGUAUCCGGGAGUCAGGCUGCGGGAGAUAAGUCCGUAGCCGAGAGGGAAAGAGCCCAGAUCGUCGGCUAAGGUCCCCUAAAUCUGAGCUAAGUGUCAAAGGAUGUGGGGGCGCAUUGACAGCCAGGAGGUUGGCUUAGAAGCAGCCAUCCUUUAAAGAAAGCGUAAUAGCUCACUGGUCAAGCGAACCUGCGCCGAAAAUAUAACGGGGCUCAAGCUCAGUACCGAAGCCACGGACUCUUAAACGAGUGUAGGGGAGCAUUCUCAAGGAGACACACGUCGGACGGAAACGACCGAUAUCGGCUUUGAGAAGAGCUUAUGCAGGCAUGAGUAGCGAUAAACCGAGUGAGAAACUCGGUCGCCGUAAGCCCCAAGGUUUCCUGGGGAAGGAUAAUCCUCCCAUGGGUUAGUCGGAUCCUAAGCCGAGGCCGAGAGGCGUAGGUGAUGGAAAGCAGGUUAAUAUUCCUGCACCACCAAGGAUGGCG